CUUGCAAACCAAAGCUGGCGACCGGCGCACGGGUGAGUAACACGUAUCCAACCUGCCUCAUACUCGGGGAUAGCCUUUCGAAAGAAAGAUUAAUAUCCGAUAGCAUAUAUUUCCCGCAUGGGUUUUAUAUUAAAGAAAUUCGGUAUGAGAUGGGGAUGCGUUCCAUUAGUUUGUUGGGGGGUAACGGCCCACCAAGACUACGAUGGAUAGGGGUUCUGAGAGGAAGGUCCCCCACAUUGGAACUGAGACACGGUCCAAACUCCUACGGGAGGCAGCAUG
Molecule: ribosomal RNA, 279 nt
Filed under: uncultured bacterium
Lineage: Bacteria
Description: partial 16S ribosomal RNA
Rfam family: Bacterial small subunit ribosomal RNA
Source: RNAcentral